CACAGAGUUAGCCGGUGCUUAUUCUGCGAGUAACGUCCACUAUCCUAGAGUAUUAAUCCAAGUAGCCUCCUCCUCGCUUAAAGUGCUUUACAACCAUAAGGCCUUCUUCACACACGCGGCAUGGCUGGAUCAGGGUUCCCCCCAUUGUCCAAUAUUCCCCA
Molecule: ribosomal RNA, 161 nt
Filed under: uncultured bacterium
Lineage: Bacteria
Description: partial 16S ribosomal RNA
Source: RNAcentral